Molecule: transfer RNA, 74 nt
Filed under: Paludibacteraceae bacterium
Lineage: Bacteria; Pseudomonadati; Bacteroidota; Bacteroidia; Bacteroidales; Paludibacteraceae
Description: tRNA-Pro
Rfam family: tRNA
About the family: Transfer RNA (tRNA) molecules are approximately 80 nucleotides in length.
Source: RNAcentral
CGGGAUGUAGCGCAGUUUGGUAGCGCGCUACGUUCGGGACGUAGAGGUCGCUGGUUCGAAUCCAGUCAUCCCGA